This 487-nucleotide ribosomal RNA is filed under the name uncultured Brachybacterium sp. Its description in RNAcentral is "partial 16S ribosomal RNA". Lineage: Bacteria; Bacillati; Actinomycetota; Actinomycetes; Micrococcales; Dermabacteraceae. The record is from RNAcentral.
CACGUAGUUAGCCGGCGCUUCUUCUGCAGGUACCGUCACUCUCGCUUCUUCCCUACUGAAAGAGGUUUACAACCCGAAGGCCGUCAUCCCUCACGCGGCGUCGCUGCAUCAGGCUUUCGCCCAUUGUGCAAUAUUUCCCACUGCUGCCUCCCGUAGGAGUCUGGGCCGUGUCUCAGUCCCAGUGUGGCCGGUCGCCCUCUCAGGCCGGCUACCCGUCAUCGUCUUGGUGAGCCAUUACCUCACCAACAACUGAUAGGCCGCGAGUCCAUCCUUCACCGAUAAAUCUUUCCAACCCCCACCAUGCGACAAGGGUUCAUAUCCGGUAUUAGCCACGAUUUCCCGAGGUUAUCCCGAAGUGAAGGGCAGGUUACUCACGUGUUACUCACCCGUUCGCCACUAAUCAGACCGUGCAAGCACGGUCGUCAUCGUUCGACUUGCAUGUGUUAAGCACGCCGCCAGCGUGUCCUCGAGCCACGGAGUCAAACUC